This 985-nucleotide ribosomal RNA is filed under the name marine metagenome. RNAcentral describes it as "bacterial SSU rRNA". It matches the Rfam family "Bacterial small subunit ribosomal RNA", at positions 8 to 1010 of the family's 1533-position model. The record is from RNAcentral.
AGAGUUUGAUCCUGGCUCAGAACGAACGCUGGCGGCAGGCCUAACACAUGCAAGUCGAGCGCUCCUCUUCGGAGGGGAGCGGCGAACGGGUGAGUAACGCGUGGGAACGUACCUUUCGGUUCGGGACAACCCUGGGAAACUGGGGCUAAUACCGGGAUACGCUCUACGGAGGAAAGAUUUUAUCGCCGAGAGAUCGGCCCGCGUUGGAUUAGCUAGUUGGUAGGGUAAAAGCCUACCAAGGCUACGAUCUUUAGCUGGUCUGAGAGGAUGAUCAGCCACAUCGGGACUGAGACACGGCCCGAACUCCUACGGGAGGCAGCAGUGGGGAAUAUUGGACAAUGGGGGCAACCCUGAUCCAGCAAUACCGCGUGUGUGAAGAAGGCCUGAGGGUUGUAAAGCACUUUCAAUUGUGAAGAAAAGCUAGUGGUUAAUAGCCAUUAGCCUUGACGUUAACUUUAGAAGAAGCACCGGCUAACUCCGUGCCAGCAGCCGCGGUAAUACGGAGGGUGCAAGCGUUAAUCGGAAUUACUGGGCGUAAAGCGUGCGUAGGCGGUUUAUUAAGUCAGAUGUGAAAGCCCCGGGCUUAACCUGGGAACUGCAUUUGAAACUGGUCAACUAGAGUAUGGUAGAGGAAAGUGGAAUUUCUGGUGUAGCGGUGAAAUGCGUAGAUAUCAGAAGGAACAUCAAUGGCGAAGGCAACUUUCUGGACCAAUACUGACGCUGAGGUACGAAAGCGUGGGUAGCAAACAGGAUUAGAUACCCUGGUAGUCCACGCCGUAAACGAUGAUAACUAGCCGUUGGGGGGAUUUACCCCUUAGUGGCGAAGCUAACGCGUUAAGUUAUCCGCCUGGGGAGUACGGCCGCAAGGUUAAAACUCAAAGGAAUUGACGGGGACCCGCACAAGCGGUGGAGCAUGUGGUUUAAUUCGAUGCAACGCGAAGAACCUUACCUGGUCUUGACAUCCUGAGAACUUUCUAGAAAUAGA